UGGAGGGCCAGUGAUAGGCGAGCCGUGGCGGCGAGCGGUGCAGGUGUGCGAGGAGGUCACACGCAGAUUGAAAGGCGACGGCUGCAUGUGGCUAGGGUUUUUUUCUUUUUGCUGAAAAUUUUUUAAGUUUGUGGGCUUGUUUAGUUUUGGGCUUGUUGGGUUAGGGUUUUUGUUGGGUUGCUAGGUGUUAGUUUGGCUUGAGUAGUGGGCUGGUCUAAUUGAGCCAUUGCAAUUUUGGGUUUGGGCCACUGCUAUAAUGGACUGUUUUAUUUUUAUUAUUUGGGUUUGUUUUGCUGGUAUUGGCUGGGGCAAAAUUUGGGCCUUACAGAAUCAUUUCUCAUUUUCAUUUUCAUUUCC
This 357-nucleotide long non-coding RNA is filed under the name Gossypium raimondii (Peruvian cotton). RNAcentral describes it as "long non-coding RNA (GRAI_LNC005228)". Lineage: Eukaryota; Viridiplantae; Streptophyta; Magnoliopsida; Malvales; Malvaceae. The record is from RNAcentral.